This 2220-nucleotide long non-coding RNA is filed under the name Olea europaea subsp. europaea. The record is from RNAcentral. Lineage: Eukaryota; Viridiplantae; Streptophyta; Magnoliopsida; Lamiales; Oleaceae.
CAAGAUUUCAAUUCAACAAGCAUUCAUCCAUUCCGAUUCCAUCUACGAAGGUUACUUCUGAUACUGAAGUGAAUAAUCUAUUUCAAUUGAACAAUAUUCACAUAACUCUCCUCUUUUGUGUGACUUUAGUAAAGAAUGAUGUCGUCGAAUGUGAAUCCAAGGACGGUGAAACCAAGGAUUAAAAUAUGUACAAUGAAUCUCGAAGCCUUGGCUUUAAUAUAUGUGUAUAAUGCAACUCUACAAGCCCCCUUUAAUUGUUCGAAUAAGGUAAGUAUUUAUAGAAAAAAUUUAUGCAAAAUACUUAUUGAAAAGAGACAAAAUCAAAAUUUGUACGCUAAAACUAUGGGCACGUGGAAGACUUGGGAAAAAAAAAAAAAAAAACACCACUGAAAGAAUAAAAAAUCGAAGUAUAUAUGGCUAGCAACUAGUAUUUUCAACAUACAGUGUGAUACGAGCUGUCAUUGGCCGAUGGUGGGGGAACAGCUACGUACAAGGAUGAUUGAGAAAUGCGUUGAUUUUGUGAUGUGGCAGUAACCAAGGUAUGACGAUGUUGAAUUUACUUGUGGCAAUAUCGCAUGACAGAAUUUGAGACGCAUAUCAGAUUUUGAAUUGAUCGAUGGGUUGAUGCGGCAAAUAUUCAACGGCAUUGAUACCUUUUUGUCAAGCUGACUUCAGUCCAUGAAUUCUAUUUAUCUUCAAAGAUAAGGGAUGCAUGCGACGACGAUCAAGAGUAGUUUUUCUUUGUGUUUGGAUGAUGGAGCAAUUUCAAAUUAUGUAGGCUGAAAACUACCAAAAUGACAAGCAAUUUGGGUUGUAAACUGUCAUAUGAAUUUGUCUUUAAAUUAUAAGUGUUGAGAACUUUGUUUGAUAGAGAGGCAGAUUAUUAGAGCUUGAAUGAGGCAACUAAUCAAUAUGAUGGCCCUUUUAUGCAUAUUGUAUGUGUUUAUUUGUUUUGGCGAGAAAUAAAAUUGGGACAGUUCCCAUCAUAGAAAACUUCUGGGCAUACUUUUGCAAAUUGAUACCACCAUUAGGGCUAGCCCUAAUGGUGGGGGAGUUGGAGGGUUGUGAAGUGGUGACAGUGGAGAAUUUAGGACUAAACUAUAAUGUUUCAAAAAAUUUAGGAUCAUGAUUGCAAUUAAUUAAUUAUUUAUUUAUUAUUUUGUUUUAUUUUAUUUGAAUAGAAUGGUAAAAUCGUUAUUUUUAUUAGAAAAUGGAUGAAAAGAAAUACCUUUUGCUCAAUGAGGGAUAAAUGUAGGGAUGAAAAUGUAAAAAAAAUGGAAGGUAAUUACGUCUUAAAGUGGGAUUUUGUGUCAAUUACCCAUUUGUGAUACCACAGCCUCCAAGUUGUCAAAACCACGACCUACACCUCCCGACAGCAACACAACCACCACCACUGCUUCACAACCACCGCAACAGCAGCGACUACCACCAGCACUGCCACCAACACAACCUAACAGUGCCGCAGCCACACAAAAUCACUUAAAUUCUGUCUCAUAUAAAUUCUCUCUCAUAAGCAACAACAGCAUCUCCAAACCCACCAUUGCGACGCAACCACCACCAUUAUCAUACACUGCAACCUACAUCUCCACCACACCCGCCUAUGCCAAAUCUUCUACCCUCUCAACCACAAAUCUGGACAUUUUUGUAUCAUGUAUUCAAAAUACCCAAUCUGAGCACUAGAUGGAACCCUAAGCCGAAUAUCUUCAAUUCGGGAAAAAAAAAAAAAAAAAAACCAUUACAAACCAGUCCUUGACAACAAUCCCGCUUGCGGAAGCCUCCUUAAAACUUCCCACAAACAACUCCUAAUCAACUUUCUUGAGCUCGAAACAUCAACCAUACAUCUCUAUUCUCGAUUCAGUUUUGUCCCUGACAUCGUCCACUACUGCCACAACCAGAUCCAACAAAAACACUUUGUCGUCAUCAUCCCCGCUACCACGGCGCUGCCACAAACACCAAACAAAAAAAUCCAAACCUAGUUUCUAGUGCGCCUGAGAAUGCAGAUCACCUGGAACCGUUGAUGCAAAAAAGUAGCGUCUUGAUGCUGGGCGCCGCUGUCACGAACGGCAGCACAAUGCUGCUGUGAUUGCUUGAAAUUAGGAGAAUUAGAUAGAGCAUCGUUGGUAGAGAGAAGGUAACCAAUCACUGUUGUAAAAAUUGGGAGACGGAGAUGGGGAGAGUGAUGCCAUAGAGAGAUGAGGAUAGAGAGAGCCAAAAGAGAGG